UUCAGGUUUUUGUAGCGAGUGGUCCUGGCAUAUACAGGAAGCCAGUGGUGGGAAUGUGGACCCAUUUGUGUGAGAAGGCUAAUGAAAGCAUUCCUGUUGACAAGGCACAGAGUUUCUAUGUUGGGGACGCUGCAGGAAGGCCAGAAAACUGGGCUCCUGGGAAAAAGAAGAAGGAUUUCUCCUGUAGCGACAGAUGU
Boleophthalmus pectinirostris (great blue-spotted mudskipper) is the source of this 197-nucleotide long non-coding RNA. RefSeq lists it as uncharacterized. The record is from RefSeq and is a predicted model, not a curated record. NCBI's taxonomy places the organism in Eukaryota, Metazoa, Chordata, Actinopteri, Gobiiformes, Gobiidae. The transcript has 3 exons.